RNAcentral lists this long non-coding RNA (617 nucleotides) under Equus caballus (horse). Its description in RNAcentral is "lncRNA (ENSECAG00000058431.1)". The record is from RNAcentral. Lineage: Eukaryota; Metazoa; Chordata; Mammalia; Perissodactyla; Equidae.
AGGGACUGGAACCCAAGGCUAAUGGAAAUGGAGAGGCAGAAGAGAUGGAAUGUAGUAGGAAAACUUUCUGACUGCCCAGUGUGGUUCUGCUGUUCCGUGGCCCUUCCCCAGCCCAGUGGGAGCUGCUUCACCCUGUAGAAAAGGAACUCGACCACAAGUCCCCACAGCUCUGAGCCAGCUUCAUCCUCCCCAAUGCUCACUCCAUCUUUGCUUGCUAUGUAUCGCACCCUCCUGCACAAGUCCAGCCUCUUCCUUAUAGACGCAUGUUAUUGACAUCUCAGGAUGCCUCUGGGGUCCCCCGGCUUCCUGAGUUGUGAUGCAGUGAAUCUUUAUUGCUGCAGAUCCAGAGAGGAUGUCAUGGGACAUAGAGGGCACAAAGAAGUGCGGGCUGAUGAGUUCACCUUCAAGCUCACUGAGACUCCUGGUUGGAACAGAGAAGGGACUCAGACAUUUCUGUAAAGGAUGGAGGAAAACUUUGAAUGUCAAGCAAAGGAGUUUAGACGUGAAAAAUCUUAAAAUCCGGAGGACACCACGAGAGCAGAGCCAUGCUUCAAAGGAUUUUAGUUUGAUUCAGCUACUGAGUGGCACUCCUAUGAGAUCUGGAAGGCAGAAGAGAA